GCCCAGGUAGCUCAGUUGGUUAGAGCCUUGUCCUGAUAUGCCAAAGUUGUGGGUUCAGUCCCCGAUCAGGGCA
RNAcentral lists this transfer RNA (73 nucleotides) under Myotis lucifugus (little brown bat). It matches the Rfam family "tRNA". From Rfam's summary of the family: Transfer RNA (tRNA) molecules are approximately 80 nucleotides in length. Their secondary structure includes four short double-helical elements and three loops (D, anti-codon, and T loops). Lineage: Eukaryota; Metazoa; Chordata; Mammalia; Chiroptera; Vespertilionidae. The record is from Rfam by way of RNAcentral.